Long non-coding RNA from Dermochelys coriacea (leatherback sea turtle), 505 nucleotides. RefSeq lists it as uncharacterized. The record is from RefSeq and is a predicted model, not a curated record. The transcript has 3 exons. Lineage: Eukaryota; Metazoa; Chordata; Testudines; Dermochelyidae.
AUUGUAAGAUCUGUAACUUGCAUCAUUAAGUUCGGCAACCUUGUUGCAGACUUUGUAACUUCAGUUACUAUUCGCAUAGCCUUUUAAGUUCUGUAACCUUUGCAAGCUCUGUAACCUUUUCAAGUUACCACUUGUAUGAACUGCCAAGCUUUGUAAUAUCCCAUCACGCAAUCAGAGAGAGUGUGAACAAGGGAGUGUGUGUGUGGAAGAUAAGGGGGUGUGAACGAGGGAGUGUAUGGGGGACUGGGUGGAGAGGAACUGCAAGGAGAAAAGAGCCAGGUGUGUCUGAUAUAAUCUGCCCUGAGAAGGCAAUCACUGAGUGCUGUAAAGAAAAGAUGCAUAAAAGGAACAGGGACUGGGAAUGCUUCUCGGUGACGGAUACAGAAGAAAAACUCAGUGUACGAGACAGGAGUGCCCAGUUCCAAAAUAAAAGGAAGCAGCCACACACCCAAGCUGCUGCUCCUUGACCUGCUCACCAGCCCAGAUCCAUGACUGCAGUGGGACA